UGGAGUCCGUGUAAUUUGAAUUGGAGUCCCCAAAAAAAUAUCUUAAUUUAUUUUUAAGUUAUGGAUCUUUUAUGAGUACUUUCAAACACAUAUUUCAACACUUUAACUUCUUUUUUCUUUUGUUCCCAACUAUAGCACUAUGACCUCCUUUCUAUUUCUUUCUUUUGCUAUGGUACUAGUAACCUUGUCUCCAUUAACUUUUUUAUUUAGCCAAUGAACUCAUUUCGUCCAUUUCAUUUUGUAGCGAGGCUGAAGAGAUUCCGUCGGAGGUGUACCCUAGAAGAGUCGAAGCUUUGAUACAUGAAAUAUUGUCUACUUGAAAAAUAACUAGAGUUCAGUAGCAAGCAUUAUCUUUCCAACAACCAAAAUAUUGUGUACUUGAAAAAUGUCUCAUGGGACAAGAGUGUAAGUAUAUGAAAUAUUUUCUUCCUCACAUACGGUUUCUUUGUGUUUGCUAUUUUUUUAAAUUCAAUGAAAUUAUUUUAGCAUCCA
RNAcentral lists this long non-coding RNA (492 nucleotides) under Lupinus angustifolius (narrow-leaved blue lupine). Its description in RNAcentral is "long non-coding RNA (LANG_LNC001582)". Lineage: Eukaryota; Viridiplantae; Streptophyta; Magnoliopsida; Fabales; Fabaceae. The record is from RNAcentral.